This 1134-nucleotide long non-coding RNA is filed under the name Taeniopygia guttata (zebra finch). RNAcentral's name for it is "lncRNA (ENSTGUG00000026263.1)". Lineage: Eukaryota; Metazoa; Chordata; Aves; Passeriformes; Estrildidae. The record is from RNAcentral.
AUGUCCCCUCACUGUCCCCAUGUCCCCUGGGUGUCCCCUGGGUGUCCCCGGGGUGUCCCCUCACUGUCCCCUCACUGUCCCCUCACUGUCCCCUCACUGUCCCCGUGUCCCCUGGGUGUCCCCUCACUGUCCCCUCACUGUGCCCUGGGUGUCCCCUCACUGUCCCCAUGUCCCCUGGGUGUCCCCUCGCUGUCCCCUCAGUGUCCCCUCACUGUCCCCAUGUCCCCUGGGUGUCCCCUGGGUGUCCCCUCACUGUCCCCUGGGUGUCCCCUGGGUGUCCCCUGGGUGUCCCCUCGCUGUCCCCAUGUCCCCUCACUGUCCCCUCACUGUCCCCUCACUGUCCAUGUCCCCUCACUGUCCAUGUCCCCUCGCUGUCCCCGUGUCCCCUGGGUGUCCCCUGGGUGUCCCCUGGGUGUCCCCUCACUGUCCCCUCGCUGUCCCCUGGGUGUCCCCUGGGUGUCCCCUCCGUGUCCCCUCAGUGUCCCCUCCGUGUCCCGCAGGUCCCGCCGCUGUCCCGGAGCCGUCGGGCGCGGCCGCCUGAGCCCGUUCGGAGCCGGGGGGAACGGGGGGUCUCGGGGGGUCUCGGCUCCCGGGGCUGCUUCGGCCUCGCCUUUGCUUUCAGUUGCCUUUUGGGUCAUUUUUCCCCUUUUUUGUUUUUUUUUCCCUUUUUUGUUUUUUUUUUUUCCCCUUUUUUCCUCCUUUCUCUCAUUUUUCCCCUGUUUUUCUUCUUUGUUCUCUUUCUUCCCUCCCUUGUUUUUUCCCCUUCUUUCUAUCCCUUCUUUUCUUUCCCCUUUUUCCUCUUUAUUUUCCUUUUUUCUCCUAUUUUUUAAAUUUUUUAACCCCUUAUUUUCCUCUUUAUUUUUUCUUCCUUUUCCCUCUUUUUUUUUUUUUUUUAAUUCCUGUAUUUUUUUUCUGGCUUUUCACCUCCUUCUUUUUAAAAAGCUUUUUAUUUUCCCGAUUUGCCUUUUGUUUCUUUUUGUUUGUUUUUAUUUUAAUCCCUCCACGCUCUCUGUGCUGCUCCAACCUCCCCUCCUCCCCCCUCAGGGCCCGGCCCCGCUGCCCCGUUUUUAUCGCAUUGUACCGCCCCCCCCCCGCGGCCGCUUUGUACAAGGUGGAACUCGAUACUUUAUGUAG